GGAAGCGUGGUUGAGCGGUUCAAAGCUGUCUUGCAAACUGCCGAGGGGGCGACUCCUUCGUGAGCUCGAAUCUCACCGCUCCCACCA
This 87-nucleotide transfer RNA is filed under the name Rhizobacter sp. RNAcentral's name for it is "tRNA-OTHER". It matches the Rfam family "tRNA". From Rfam's summary of the family: Transfer RNA (tRNA) molecules are approximately 80 nucleotides in length. Lineage: Bacteria; Pseudomonadati; Pseudomonadota; Betaproteobacteria; Burkholderiales; Sphaerotilaceae. The record is from RNAcentral.